RNAcentral lists this ribosomal RNA (252 nucleotides) under uncultured bacterium. RNAcentral describes it as "partial 16S ribosomal RNA". It matches the Rfam family "Bacterial small subunit ribosomal RNA", at positions 524 to 776 of the family's 1533-position model. The record is from RNAcentral.
UACGAAGGGGGCUAGCGUUGUUCGGAAUCACUGGGCGUAAAGGCGCGUAGGCGGCCGAUCAAGUCGGGGGUGAAAGCCUGUGGCUCAACCACAGAAUUGCCUUCGAUACUGUUUGGCUUGAGACCGGAAGAGGUAAGUGGAACUGCGAGUGUAGAGGUGAAAUUCGUAGAUAUUCGCAAGAACACCAGUGGCGAAGGCGGCUUACUGGUCCGGUUCUGACGCUGAGGCGCGAAAGCGUGGGGAGCAAACAGG